Molecule: small nuclear RNA, 165 nt
Organism: Talpa occidentalis (Iberian mole)
Lineage: Eukaryota; Metazoa; Chordata; Mammalia; Eulipotyphla; Talpidae
Product: U1 spliceosomal RNA
Exons: 1
Source: RefSeq, a predicted model, not a curated record
GAUCAGACCUGGCAGGCAAGACCCCAUGAGCACCAAGGUGGUUUUCCCAGGGUGAGGCCCACCCAUUGCACUGGGGAUGUGCCGACCCCUGCGACUUUCCCGAAUGCGGAAAAAUCGAAGGCGUAAUUCAUAGCAGUGGGGUCGGUGUUUGUGCGCUCACCUGGG